RNAcentral lists this ribosomal RNA (253 nucleotides) under uncultured bacterium. RNAcentral's name for it is "partial 16S ribosomal RNA". It matches the Rfam family "Bacterial small subunit ribosomal RNA", at positions 524 to 776 of the family's 1533-position model. The record is from RNAcentral.
GACGAACCGAGCGAACGUUAUUCGGAAUCACUGGGCUUAAAGGGCGCGUAGGCGGGCCGUCAAGUCAGGGGUGAAAGCCCCCAGCCUAACUGGGGAAGUGCCUCUGAUACUGACGGUCUCGAGGGAGGUAGGGGCGUGCGGAACUUCCGGUGGAGCGGUGAAAUGCGUAGAUAUCGGAAGGAACACCGGUGGCGAAGGCAGGUCUCUGGGCAUUAACUGACGCUGAGGAGCGAAAGCACGGGGAGCGAACAGG